GGCCGAAACACCUGCUUCCCGCGGGUGUCUGCCGGGUGGGGCCCGGCGCUGAUGAGGCCAACA
This 63-nucleotide non-coding RNA is filed under the name Micromonosporaceae bacterium. The record is from RNAcentral. Lineage: Bacteria; Bacillati; Actinomycetota; Actinomycetes; Micromonosporales; Micromonosporaceae.